This 395-nucleotide unclassified non-coding RNA is filed under the name soil metagenome. RNAcentral's name for it is "partial contains 5.8S ribosomal RNA, internal transcribed spacer 2, and large subunit ribosomal RNA". The stretch from base 1 to 122 matches the Rfam family "5.8S ribosomal RNA", at positions 35 to 154 of the family's 154-position model. The record is from RNAcentral.
GAUGAAGAACGUAGCGAAAUGCGAUACUUGGUGUGAAUUGCAGAAUCCCGUGAACCAUCGAGUCUUUGAACGCAAGUUGCGCCCGAAGCCAUCAGGUUGAGGGCACGUCUGCCUCGGCGUCACAUAUCGUUGCCCAAUGCCUAUUGCAGUGCAAUAGGAAUUUCUAGGGCGAAUGAUGGCUUCCCGUGAGCGUUGUUGCCUCGCGGUUGGUUGAAAAUCGAGUCCUUGGUAGGGUGUGCCAUGGUAGAUGGUGGUCGAGUUAGAACGAUACCGAUCAUGUGCAUGCUCCCCAAAAUAUGGCCUCUAUGACCCACACGCGUCUUUUGACGCUCAUGACGAGACCUCAGGUCAGGCGGGGCUACCCGCUGAAUUUAAGCAUAUCAAUAAGCGGAGGA